Molecule: long non-coding RNA, 2736 nt
Organism: Hemibagrus wyckioides
Lineage: Eukaryota; Metazoa; Chordata; Actinopteri; Siluriformes; Bagridae
Exons: 4
Source: RefSeq, a predicted model, not a curated record
CAUCGGACAAGCAGCUGGGGUCUGUGUUGUCCCAGUCCAUAUUCUCUGAUACAAUCUGAUGAAAAGGGAUGCCACUCUUUGUUCGGACCAUACCCAGUGACUCCACUGCAUGAAGGAUCUGGCACUUCAGCCAUUUAAAUUCGAGGGGGUCCACAGUUUAAGGGUGCAGAUGGCUGUGGCAGAUUUCCUAGUACAAAAUAAUUGAAAAAAGUUAGAUGAGAGUGGAAUAAUGAGGGUGGCUGUUACAAUAUUAACUGCUGUUUCCCCAAAUAUCCAUAUAUACACUUAAUAUACACUUCUGGUUGUAUAGACAUUUAAACAAGCAGACGCCACCACUCUAAUACAAAGUAUUAUUUGUGUGUACCGAGCCUUGGAUUUAUCUUUUUUGCCUUUUGUUCUUGACCUGUUUCAGUCUGUGGAUUUAUGUUAUUUUUGGAUUUGCCCUCCUGGAUUGUUUGCUUUGCUGACUGCUUUUGUUUUUCCCCUGCCUGCCAUUUUUGCUCUGUUACCUGGUUUAUUAAAUAUCCUUUCUCUGCACAUGCAUCCCAUUAAUCCUUUAUUACAGGAUACUUCGCCUGCGAUGGGUCCAGCAGACGUACCUCAGCUGUUAGCGCAACACGGACAAGCUGUUGAGGCUUACCACGAGCAGGACGCGGCCCUCCAGACCACCAACAAACAGCCCCUACAAGUCCUCGCUAAUACUACAGGUUCGCAUAGUGAAUCCAUGCACAUAGCACUACCGACAAGAUUGAUGGCUCUGCCGACAGGUGUAAGGGAUUCAUAAGACAAUGUGAAGUCUAUUUUGUGUACCAGCCAGACACUUACAGUGAGGACUCCACCAAGUGCACUUUUCUCCUUACUUUAAUUACUGGAUGAGAGCUGGAGUGGGCUAUGGUGGUAUGGGACAGUGACCCUCAGACUGGCAGCACAAAGUGGCUGUAACAUCUCAGUUGAAGAACGCCAAUGCCGCCUGCAGUUGUGCUACUACUGCGGUGAAUCCGGUCAUCAUUGUGCCAUCUGCUCCGAGAAGACCACCAUGCGACGUGCUCAGCCUGACAGACAACUGACAGAACAGCUGAAUGAUGAAGUCUGUUCUGGCCCAUUCUUCGCCUAAGCCAUAUAUUGCUCCAACAUCACCUCUGUGCCAAGAAAUGCAAAUUUCAUCAAUCCUCCAUCACCUUCCUGGGGUACGUUAUCAGCAACAAAGGAGUGAAGAUGGACUCCAGCAAGGUCAGCGCUGUCACAGAAUGGCCAGAACCCUCAAGUAUUAAGGAAACACAGCGGUUCCUGGGGUUCGCCAACUUUUACUGGCAGUUUAUUAGGAAUUACAGUUCUGUAGCAGACCUGCUCAAUGCUCUGCUUGAGGGAAAACCUAAAAAAUUACAAUGGUCUGAGACAGCUGCCCAAGCCUUCAAAGAACUGAAGUGUCACUUUACCACAGCCCCUAUCCUACAUUACCCUGACCCAGAAUGCCCAUUGUGGUGGAAGUAGAUGCCUCCUGUUGCAGCAUAGAGGCUGUACUCUCCUAAUGCCAUGGAGAGUCCAAUAAACUUUUCCCCUCUGCCUUCUUCUCAUGAAUGUUGAGUUUAGAGAACCACAUAACUACUCCGCAAUACAUUUCGGUCACCUUCCCUGGCUACCGAUGGGUGCCACCUGCACCCAAGUCCGUACCCCUCGGUGGCUUCCUGCAGGUCUCUCGGUACCCCAAUGCCCCUGGACUCAUGUGGCAGAAGACUUCGUCACUGAUCUCCCCUCCUACCAUAGGUUUAUGGCCAUCCUGGUGGCAGUGGAUUGCUUUUCCAAGGGUUACUCAUCCCAUUGAAAAAAUUCCCCACAGCCAUGGAGACUGCCACAGCCUAGUUCGAACAUGUAUUCUGAAGCUAUACAUUCCAUAGUAUAUGGUCUCUGAUCAAGGAGUUCAAUUCACCUCCCACGUAUGCAGAGUUUUCUGUCACCACUUGGGCAUUAAUGUCAGCGUCACCUCCAGCUACCACCCCCAGUCGAAUGGCCAGGUAGAGAGGUUAAACCAGGAGUUGGCACAUUACUUACGAACCUAUUGUAGCAGAGAAGAGUUCCAUUCCUGGGCUGAGUAUGUGCAAAACUUGUACCCAUUACUAUUCUCUCCUCACACCUUUUCCAUGUAUUCUAGGCUACCAACCCCCCUUGUUCCCAUUGUUAGGAGAGCUCUCUGAGGUACCGGCGGUGGAUGAUUGGGUUCACCAAAGAGGUAUGGGAUAGCACUCAUAUAUGCCUCCAACGAGCUGUCUUUCGCCAGCACCUCCAGGCUAACCAAAGGAGACACCCACAUCCACCAUAUCAACCAGGACAAAUGCUUUGGCUUUCAAACAAGCAUCUAUGUCUGAAACUCCCAUGUCGUAAGUUGAGACCCCGCUACAUUGGCCUCUUCAAGGUCCUCCAACAAAUCAACAGGUUACUUACCACCUUAAACUCCCACCCAGUUAUUGCAUCUCACCCUCAUACCACACCUUUCUCUUCUGUAACAACAUUAACCACUGUUUCCAAUAUUCAGCAGAGGGACCCCUCACCCAAGUUUUGACACUUCUGGGUUCUACACUUCCAGCUGUAUAGACAUUUAAACACACAGAUGCCAUCCCUCUAAUGUGAAGUAUCAUUUGUGUGUUAUCACCAUGUACUGAGCCUUGGAUUUAUUUUUGCUCUAUUACCUGGUUUAUUAAAUAUCCUGUCUCUGCACAUGCAUCCUAUUAAUCCUUCAUU